GAUGAACGCUGGCGGCGUGCUUAACACAUGCAAGUCGAACGGAAAGGCCCAAGCUUGCUUGGGUACUCGAGUGGCGAACGGGUGAGUAACACGUAGGUGAUCUGCCCUGCACUUCGGGAUAAGCCUGGGAAACUGGGUCUAAUACCGGAUAGGACCACAUUUUGGAUGGUGUGGUGGAAAGUUUUUCGGUGUGGGAUGAGCUCGCGGCCUAUCAGCUUGUUGGUGGGGUAAUGGCCUACCAAGGCGUCGACGGGUAGCCGGCCUGAGAGGGUGUACGGCCACAUUGGGACUGAGAUACGGCCCAGACUCCUACGGGAGGCAGCAGUGGGGAAUAUUGCACAAUGGGCGCAAGCCUGAUGCAGCGACGCCGCGUGGGGGAUGACGGCCUUCGGGUUGUAAACUCCUUUCGCUAGGGACGAAGCGCAAGUGACGGUACCUGGAGAAGAAGCACCGGCUAACUACGUG
This 465-nucleotide ribosomal RNA is filed under the name uncultured bacterium. RNAcentral's name for it is "partial 16S ribosomal RNA". It matches the Rfam family "Bacterial small subunit ribosomal RNA", at positions 28 to 507 of the family's 1533-position model. The record is from RNAcentral.